Molecule: non-coding RNA, 169 nt
Filed under: uncultured Faecousia sp.
Lineage: Bacteria; Bacillati; Bacillota; Clostridia; Eubacteriales; Oscillospiraceae
Description: Lysine riboswitch
Rfam family: Lysine riboswitch aptamer
About the family: Riboswitches are metabolite binding domains within certain messenger RNAs that serve as precision sensors for their corresponding targets. Allosteric rearrangement of mRNA structure is mediated by ligand binding, and this results in modulation of gene expression.
Source: RNAcentral
UUUAGGUAGAGGCGCGGUGCUUCAAGAGUAACGCAGUCCAGUAUGCCCGGUGGGGCUCAGACUGUGGGAAAGGGGAGACCGCCGAAGAUGCUUUCCGACGGGAAGGCAGUCUGGUACAGGGGAAUAAGAUCCGUUGUACUGUCGCAUUUCAUGCGGAGAGCUAUCGGGU